GAAGUAAAGAUAAAAAAUAAAUAUAAAAGUAAAAUUAAGAAAAAAUUAAAAUAAAUUAAAAGUUGAAAUUUGAAAAUUAAAAGUUGAAUUAAAGUUAAGUCAAAAGUUAAAAGAUGAAGAGUAAGAGGAAAAAAAAUAAGCUAAAGAUGAAAAGAACUCACUUUAAUUAUGCUCCACUUGAGGGCAAUAGACUUCCUUCUAUUCCAAAAAAAUUCAAAAAUUUGGAUCAGCUUCAAAUUAAAUAAUUCUUGCUUGAUUGAAAUCCUAAUUUAAAGAUACUUGAUUGAAAACCUAACUUAAAGAUACUUGAUUGAAAACCUAACUUAAAGGUACUUGAUUGAAAACCUAACUUAAAGGUACUUGAUUGAAAAUCUAACUUAAAGGUACUUGAUUGAAAAUCUAACUUAAAAACACUUGUGCUUCAAAAAUCUUUAAAGCAAUCCAAUACUUGAGCCACGAGAAAUGUUCCUUCAAAGUUGAGUAUUUGGAAUUGCUAUGACAUUCUACCUCAUUCACUUGGAAAUUCACCAAAACUUAAAAUCGGCUUCAAUUU
This 553-nucleotide long non-coding RNA is filed under the name Physcomitrium patens. Its description in RNAcentral is "long non-coding RNA (PPAT_LNC003097)". The record is from RNAcentral. Lineage: Eukaryota; Viridiplantae; Streptophyta; Bryopsida; Funariales; Funariaceae.